GCCUGGGUGGCUCAGUCGGUUAAGUGUCUGACUUCGGCUCAGGUCGUGAUCUCACGGUUCGUGGGUUCGAGCCCCGCAUCGGGCU
RNAcentral lists this transfer RNA (85 nucleotides) under Felis catus (domestic cat). It matches the Rfam family "tRNA". Rfam says of the family: Transfer RNA (tRNA) molecules are approximately 80 nucleotides in length. Their secondary structure includes four short double-helical elements and three loops (D, anti-codon, and T loops). Further hydrogen bonds mediate the characteristic L-shaped molecular structure. tRNAs have two regions of fundamental functional importance: the anti-codon, which is responsible for specific mRNA codon recognition, and the 3' end, to which the tRNAs corresponding amino acid is attached (by aminoacyl-tRNA synthetases). tRNAs cope with the degeneracy of the genetic code in two manners: having more than one tRNA (with a specific anti-codon) for a particular amino acid; and 'wobble' base-pairing, i.e. permitting non-standard base-pairing at the 3rd anti-codon position. Lineage: Eukaryota; Metazoa; Chordata; Mammalia; Carnivora; Felidae. The record is from Rfam by way of RNAcentral. RNAcentral also lists the same sequence under 2 other names.